This 431-nucleotide ribosomal RNA is filed under the name uncultured bacterium. RNAcentral describes it as "partial 16S ribosomal RNA". It matches the Rfam family "Bacterial small subunit ribosomal RNA", at positions 29 to 507 of the family's 1533-position model. The record is from RNAcentral.
AACGAACGCUGGCGGCAGGCCUAACACAUGCAAGUCGAGCGCCCUUUCGGGGGAGCGGCGGUCGGGUGAGUAACGCGUGGGAAUAUGCCCUUCUCUACGGAAUAGCCUCGGGAAACUGAGAGUAAUACCGUAUACGCCCUGUGGGGGAAAGAUUUAUCGGGGAAGGAUUAGCCCGCGUUGGAUUAGGUAGUUGGUAGGGUAAUGGCCUACCAAGCCGACGAUCCAUAGCUGGGUUGAGAGGAUGAUCAGCCACACUGGGACUGAGACACGGCCCAGACUCCUACGGGAGGCAGCAGUGGGGGAUCUUAGACAAUGGGGGCAACCCUGAUCUAGCCAUGCCGCGUGAGUGAUGAAGGCCUUAGGGUUGUAAAGCUCUUUCAGCUGGGAAGAUAAUGACGGUACCAGCAGAAGAAGCCCCGGCUAACUCCGUG